Molecule: transfer RNA, 87 nt
Organism: Pisolithus tinctorius Marx 270
Lineage: Eukaryota; Fungi; Basidiomycota; Agaricomycetes; Boletales; Pisolithaceae
Rfam family: tRNA
About the family: Transfer RNA (tRNA) molecules are approximately 80 nucleotides in length.
Source: Rfam
GGCCUUGUAGUGUAGUGGUUAUCACACAGGAUUCUGAUGCUGAUGCUAAAAAUUCCUGUAACCCAGGUUCGAGUCCUGGCAGGGCCU